AUGUAUAGGACCAAUUGGGGUAUUGGCCAUGGACGUAAAGAUAUUUUAGAGGCUCACAAGGGCCCAUUUACAGGACAAGGCCAUAAGGGUUUUCAUAGUUUUGGCUUGUACAUUCAUAAUGAUACCAUGAGUGCUUUAGGCCGUCCACAAGAUAUGUUUUCGGAUACUGCCAUACAAUUACAACCUAUCUUUGCUCAAUGGGUACGAAAUAUCCAUGCUACUUCGCCUGGCGUAACAGCUCCUGGUGCAACAACAAGUACUAGCUUAACGUGGGGAGGCGGCGAGUUAGUAGCAGUAGGUGGCAAAGUGGCUUUGUUACCUAUUCCAUUAGGAACCACAGAUUUUUUAGUCCAUCACAUUCAUGCAUUUACCAUACAUGUGACUGUAUUAAUACUUUUGAAAGGUGUUUUAUUUGCUCAGAGUUCCUGUUUGAUACCCGAUAAAGCAAAUCUAGGUUUUCGCUUUCCUUGCGAUGGGCCUGGCCGAGGGGGAACAUGUCAAGUAUCCGCCUGGGAUCAUGUUUUCUUAGGCUUAUUCUGGAUGUACAAUGCAAUUUCGGUAGUCAUUUUCCAUUUCAGUUGGAAAAUGCAGUCGGAUGUUUGGGGUACUAUAAGUGAUCAAGGGGUGGUAACUCAUAUUACAGGGGGAAACUUUGCACAGAGUUCCAUUACGAUUAAUGGGUGGCUUCGAUAUUUCAUGUGGGCACAGGCAUCGCAAGUCAUUCAGUCUUAUGGUUCUUCAUUAUUUGCAUAUGGUCUUUCUUUCUUAGGUGCUCAUUUUGUCUGGGCCUUCAGUUUAAUGUUUUUAUUCAGCGGCCGUGGUUAUUGGCAAGAACUCAUUGAAUCUAUCGUUUGGGCUCAUAACAAAUUCAAAGUUGCUCCUGCUACUCAGCCUAGAGCCUUGAGCAUUAUACAAGGACAUGAUGUAGGAGUAACCCAUUACCUUCUGGGUGGACUUGCCACGACAUGGGCAUUCUUCUUAGCGAGAAUUAUUGCAGUAGGAUAG
Molecule: ribosomal RNA, 1005 nt
Filed under: Triticum aestivum (bread wheat)
Lineage: Eukaryota; Viridiplantae; Streptophyta; Magnoliopsida; Poales; Poaceae
Description: partial small subunit ribosomal RNA
Source: RNAcentral